CAGAGAUCUCAAAUGAGGGAACCCUGGGAGAGCCGCCGACUCCAACUACCCUCCAUGUACGACCCAUACUAGAUCUGACCAACUGCCCAUCCUACCUCCUCUACGUUCUUGAUAGCCCUUCUUUGUCUCAGUAGAGUCUUUCAGUGGCACGUUUCGGUCCUCUUCCCCAUUAUUUAGGAAAAGUGAGCCACCGGUUCAGGUACAAGAUACUAUCAUUACCGCCUGAACAAUUAGACAUCCAACCCGUAAUCGCAACGACCCAAUUGCAAGAG
This 272-nucleotide long non-coding RNA is filed under the name Nicotiana benthamiana. RNAcentral's name for it is "long non-coding RNA (NBEN_LNC041385)". Lineage: Eukaryota; Viridiplantae; Streptophyta; Magnoliopsida; Solanales; Solanaceae. The record is from RNAcentral.